UUAAUAGAAGCCAUUAGGCGCUUCAUUGUUAAUGAAGAAUUUACAAUUAAUUUGUCUAUUAAA
RNAcentral lists this transfer RNA (63 nucleotides) under Scutigera coleoptrata (house centipede). RNAcentral's name for it is "transfer RNA-Asn(AAC)". The record is from RNAcentral. Lineage: Eukaryota; Metazoa; Arthropoda; Chilopoda; Scutigeromorpha; Scutigeridae.